UCAGGGAAUUACAGGGGUUCCUGAGGCGGAGGCAAAAUAAAGUGGCCCCCCUCAAGACAGGCCCGCUGAGGUUACAGCUUCCCGGCAGAUCAGCGGACGUUCCCCGUUGCCUGAGCAACUGCCUCCGGACGAGUCUUUCCUGCACUUUGUUCGUGAGACGUGCACCCAGGCUCGCCAGAGAGAGGAGGAGACCCUGUCCAGGACUCCACCGGGCAGGCCAUUGUGAUGAGAUGGUGAUAGAAAAUAUGGAGGUCUUUGACGAUGGAUCGUGAAGACGGCUCAGUCCCAGAACAGAUCCUG
This is a long non-coding RNA of Rhineura floridana, 300 nucleotides long. RefSeq lists it as uncharacterized. Lineage: Eukaryota; Metazoa; Chordata; Lepidosauria; Squamata; Rhineuridae. The transcript is spliced from 4 exons. The record is from RefSeq and is a predicted model, not a curated record.